GUGACUGCGUACCUUUUGUAUAAUGGGUCAGCGACUUAUAUUCUGUAGCAAGGUUAACCGAAUAGGGGAGCCGAAGGGAAACCGAGUCUUAACUGGGCGUUAAGUUGCAGGGUAUAGACCCGAAACCCGGUGAUCUAGCCAUGGGCAGGUUGAAGGUUGGGUAACACUAACUGGAGGACCGAACCGACUAAUGUUGAAAAAUUAGCGGAUGACUUGUGGCUGGGGGUGAAAGGCCAAUCAAACCGGGAGAUAGCUGGUUCUCCCCGAAAGCUAUUUAGGUAGCGCCUCGUGAAUUCAUCUCCGGGGGUAGAGCACUGUUUCGGCAAGGGGGUCAUCCCGACUUACCAACCCGAUGCAAACUGCGAAUACCGGAGAAUGUUAUCACGGGAGACACACGGCGGGUGCUAACGUCCGUCGUGAAGAGGGAAACAACCCAGACCGCCAGCUAAGGUCCCAAAGUCAUGGUUAAGUGGGAAACGAUGUGGGAAGGCCCAGACAGCCAGGAUGUUGGCUUAGAAGCAGCCAUCAUUUAAAGAAAGCGUAAUAGCUCACUGGUCGAGUCGGCCUGCGCGGAAGAUGUAACGGGGCUAAACCAUGCACCGAAGCUGCGGCAGCGACACUAUGUGUUGUUGGGUAGGGGAGCGUUCUGUAAGCCUGUGAAGGUGUACUGUGAGGUAUGCUGGAGGUAUCAGAAGUGCGAAUGCUGACAUAAGUAACGAUAAAGCGGGUGAAAAGCCCGCUCGCCGGAAGACCAAGGGUUCCUGUCCAACGUUAAUCGGGGCAGGGUGAGUCGACCCCUAAGGCGAGGCCGAAAGGCGUAGUCGAUGGGAAACAGGUUAAUAUUCCUGUACUUGGUGUUACUGCGAAGGGGGGACGGAGAAGGCUAUGUUGGCCGGGCGACGGUUGUCCCGGUUUAAGCGUGUAGGCUGGUUUUCCAGGCAAAUCCGGAAAAUCAAGGCUGAGGCGUGAUGACGAGGCACUACGGUGCUGAAGCAACAAAUGCCCUGCUUCCAGGAAAAGCCUCUAAGCAUCAGGUAACAUCAAAUCGUACCCCAAACCGACACAGGUGGUCAGGUAGAGAAUACCAAGGCGCUUGAGAGAACUCGGGUGAAGGAACUAGGCAAAAUGGUGCCGUAACUUCGGGAGAAGGCACGCUGAUAUGUAGGUGAAGCGACUUGCUCGUGGAGCUGAAAUCAGUCGAAGAUACCAGCUGGCUGCAACUGUUUAUUAAAAACACAGCACUGUGCAAACACGAAAGUGGACGUAUACGGUGUGACGCCUGCCCGGUGCCGGAAGGUUAAUUGAUGGGGUCAGCGCAAGCGAAGCUCUUGAUCGAAGCCCCGGUAAACGGCGGCCGUAACUAUAACGGUCCUAAGGUAGCGAAAUUCCUUGUCGGGUAAGUUCCGACCUGCACGAAUGGCGUAAUGAUGGCCAGGCUGUCUCCACCCGAGACUCAGUGAAAUUGAACUCGCUGUGAAGAUGCAGUGUACCCGCGGCAAGACGGAAAGACCCCGUGAACCUUUACUAUAGCUUGACACUGAACAUUGAGCCUUGAUGUGUAGGAUAGGUGGGAGGCUUUGAAGUGUGGACGCCAGUCUGCAUGGAGCCGACCUUGAAAUACCACCCUUUAAUGUUUGAUGUUCUAACGUUGGCCCCUGAUCGGGGUUGCGGACAGUGUCUGGUGGGUAGUUUGACUGGGGCGGUCUCCUCCUAAAGAGUAACGGAGGAGCACGAAGGUU
This 1739-nucleotide ribosomal RNA is filed under the name human gut metagenome. Its description in RNAcentral is "bacterial LSU rRNA". It matches the Rfam family "Bacterial large subunit ribosomal RNA", at positions 593 to 2318 of the family's 2925-position model. The record is from RNAcentral.